Molecule: ribosomal RNA, 373 nt
Filed under: uncultured bacterium
Lineage: Bacteria
Description: bacterial SSU rRNA
Rfam family: Bacterial small subunit ribosomal RNA
Source: RNAcentral
GACGAACGCUGGCGGCGUGCUUAACACAUGCAAGUCGAGCGGUAAGGCCCUUUCGGGGGUACACGAGCGGCGAACGGGUGAGUAACACGUGGGUGACCUGCCCUCAGCUCUGGGAUAAGCCUGGGAAACUGGGUCUAAUACUGGAUAUGACUCCACGGUGCAUGUCGUGGGGUGGAAAGCCUUGUGCGGCUAGAGAUGGGCCCGCGGCCUAUCAGCUUGUUGGUGGGGNGAUGGCCUACCAAGGCGACGACGGGUAGCCGGCCUGAGAGGGCGACCGGCCACACUGGGACUGAGACACGGCCCAGACUCCUACGGGAGGCAGCAGUGGGGAAUCCUGCGCAAUGGGCGAAAGCCUGACGCAGCGACGCCGCGU